Molecule: ribosomal RNA, 465 nt
Filed under: uncultured bacterium
Lineage: Bacteria
Description: partial 16S ribosomal RNA
Rfam family: Bacterial small subunit ribosomal RNA
Source: RNAcentral
GACGAACGCUGGCGGCGUGCUUAACACAUGCAAGUCGAACGGAAAGGCCCUGCUUGCAGGGUACUCGAGUGGCGAACGGGUGAGUAACACGUGGGUGAUCUGCCCUUCACUUCGGGAUAAGCCUGGGAAAGUGGGUCUAAUACCCGAUAGGAGCCAGUGUUAGAGUGAGGGUUGGACAGUUUUUUCGGUGUAGGAUGAGCUCGCGGCCUAUCAGCUUGUUGGUGGGGUAAUGGCCUACCAAGGCGGCGACGGGUAGCCGGCCUGAGAGGGUGGACGGCCACAUUGGGACUGAGAUAAGGCCCAGACUCCUACGGGAGGCAGCAGUGGGGAAGAUUGCACAAUGGGCGCAAGCCUGAUGCAGCGACGCCGCGUGGGGGAUGACGGCCUUCGGGUUGUAAAAUCCUUUCGCUAGGGACGAAGCUUUUUGUGACGGUACCUAGAUAAGAAGCACCGGCUAACUACGUG